AGCGAACGCUGGCGGCAGGCCUAACACAUGCAAGUCGAACGAACCUUUCGGGGUUAGUGGCGGACGGGUGAGUAACACGUGGGAACGUGCCUUUAGGUUCGGAAUAACUCAGGGAAACUUGUGCUAAUACCGAAUGUGCCCUUCGGGGGACAGAUUUAUCGCCUUUAGAGCGGCCCGCGUCUGAUUAGCUAGUUGGUUGAGGUAAUGGCUCACCAAGGCGACGAUCAGUAGCUGGUCUGAGAGGAUGAUCAGCCACAUUGGGACUGAGACACGGCCCAAACUCCUACGGGAGGCAGCAGUGGGGAAUCUUGCGCAAUGGGCGAAAGCCUGACGCAGCCAUGCCGCGUGAAUGAUGAAGGUCUUAGGAUUGUAAAAUUCUUUCACCGGGGACGAUAAUGACGGUACCCGGAGAAGAAGCCCCGGCUAACUUCGUG
Molecule: ribosomal RNA, 434 nt
Filed under: uncultured bacterium
Lineage: Bacteria
Description: partial 16S ribosomal RNA
Rfam family: Bacterial small subunit ribosomal RNA
Source: RNAcentral